This 332-nucleotide unclassified non-coding RNA is filed under the name soil metagenome. Its description in RNAcentral is "partial contains 5.8S ribosomal RNA, internal transcribed spacer 2, and large subunit ribosomal RNA". The stretch from base 1 to 120 matches the Rfam family "5.8S ribosomal RNA", at positions 35 to 154 of the family's 154-position model. The record is from RNAcentral.
GAUGAAGAACGUAGCAAAAUGCGAUAAGUAAUGUGAAUUGCAGAAUUCAGUGAAUCAUCGAAUCUUUGAACGCACAUUGCGCCCGCCAGUAUUCUGGCGGGCAUGCCUGUUCGAGCGUCAUUUCAACCCUCAAGCACAGCCUGGUGUUGGGACUCGCGUUAAUUCGCGUUCCCCAAAUUGAUUGGCGGUCACGUCGAGCUUCCAUAGCGUAGUAGUAAAACCCUCGUUACUGGUAAUCGUCGCGGCCACGCCGUUAAACCCCAACUUCUGAAUGUUGACCUCGGAUCAGGUAGGAAUACCCGCUGAACUUAAGCAUAUCAAUAAGCGGAGGA